UACAGAGGUCUCGAGCGUUAGGCGGAAUCACUGGGCUUAAAGCGUGUGUAGGCGGAUUGCUAAGUACCUUGUGAAAUCCCACGGCUUAACCGUGGAACUGCUUGGUAUACUGGCUGUCUUGAGCCACUUAGGGGCGACCGGAACAAACGGUGGAGCGGUGAAAUGCGUAGAUAUCGUGAGGAAGACCAGUGGCGAAGGCGGAUCUCUGGACAGUUACUGACACUGAGGCACGAAGGCCAGGGGAGCAAACGGG
Molecule: ribosomal RNA, 253 nt
Filed under: uncultured bacterium
Lineage: Bacteria
Description: partial 16S ribosomal RNA
Rfam family: Bacterial small subunit ribosomal RNA
Source: RNAcentral